GCGCGAAAACUUUACAAUGCUGGCAACAGCGAUAAGGGAACCUCGAGUGCCAGGUUACAAAUCUGGCUGUCGAGAUGCCUAAAAAGCAUUUCAUAGCAAGGGCCGGGCAAGACCGGUGCCAGCCGCCGCGGUAACACCGGCGGCUCGAGUGGUAACCGUUAUUAUUGGGUCUAAAGGGUCUGUAGCCGGCCGGAUAAGUCUCUUGAGAAAUCUGGCAGCUUAACUGUCAGGCUUUCAGGAGAUACUGUCUGGCUCGAGGCCGGGAGAGGUGAGAGGUACUUCGGGGGUAGGGGUGAAAUCUUGUAAUCCUUGAAGGACCACCAGUGGCGAAGGCGUCUCACCAGAACGGACCUGACGGCGAGGGACGAAAGCCAGGGGCACGAACCG
This 387-nucleotide ribosomal RNA is filed under the name uncultured bacterium. RNAcentral describes it as "bacterial SSU rRNA". It matches the Rfam family "Archaeal small subunit ribosomal RNA", at positions 339 to 726 of the family's 1478-position model. The record is from RNAcentral.